This 1523-nucleotide long non-coding RNA is filed under the name Oryzias javanicus (javanese ricefish). Its description in RNAcentral is "lncRNA (ENSOJAG00000016047.1)". Lineage: Eukaryota; Metazoa; Chordata; Actinopteri; Beloniformes; Adrianichthyidae. The record is from RNAcentral.
UAAAAAUGUCCAAAAAAUGAGUUGUUGAUGUGAUUUCCACUUGGGGGCCACCAUAGAUCUAUGUGGUGAAAACUAUAAAACUGGUUCAAAAAGGCCAUACCUUUGGAAACUGGCUCUCUUCGUCAAUCAGGGCAAACACGUUGCAGGGCUUGUCGGCCAGCAGGUCGAGAACGUCCUGAUUGUCGCUGAAUUUGAUGUUGUUCCAAACUAUGUCCUCUUUCAGAUACUCCUCCUGCUCCAGCUUGAAGACGUGGCCCACAAAGAACUGCUGCAGCUUCUCGUUGGCGUAGUUGAUGCAAAGCUGCUCAAAGCUGGGAAACAACAAAGGCACAGACUUUAGGACCAGCUGUGUGACUGUGAGAGCAGUUCGGUUUGAAAUCCCCCUGACCUGUUUACUUCAAAGUUUUCAAAGCCAAAGAUAUCAAGCAAGCCGAUGGAGAGAUAAGACGACUUGGGGUUGUUGGCCAGCCGUUUGUAGAUGACACUGUUGACUUUCUCCACAAUCCAUUUGAAGAGUUUAUUGAAGAUUGCCUUGAAAACAGAUGACAUUUACAGAUCACUAUGAGAAAAGAAGAUAUGCAACUUUUCUUUGCUUCACAGAAAUUUUAUGGCCCUUCGACUUUGGACUGGCUGACAGAAAGGAAAUGAAACCUACAGAGGUGAACAAUCAUCUUUCCUUCAAGGAAGUGCCCUCAUCAGGUGGCUCAUCCCACCCUUUCUUACAGCACAAUCCCCCCAACUUUAACCAUGAAAGACCUGACAGUGGCGCUGGAUGAAGAAAGAAGAAAAAAAAAAAAAAGAAGUCGCAGAUCGGUGUGUGGUUACGUUGAAUCCGGCUUUGCGUAAACAACCUUGACGUGUGUUUACCAGGUUCACGGAAUGCUGUAAUAAAUUUAUGCGCCGCCUUUGGACCUUGCCUGUGUAAACUCGUGAAAACGCGACAGAGCAUCCCCUGUUCAGCUGCAAUAAAGAUAGAAAUAGGAGAUUAAAUCACAGCAAAAGCCUCCAUUGUCUACCUGCUGUCAAUCACUUUUCUCAAACUGUGCACCAGUUGUGAAGAUGUUUUCUUUUUGGGCCUGGGGCUGUAACUAGCGCUGCAGUCAUCGUGUAGGGUCUGACUAAUGGCAGCCACUGAUUAGUAGUUUGCGUCAAUAUGUGCAGCUGUGAUAAGGUAUUUUCCCGCAAGGUUGGUCAUAGUGGAGAGCUCAAGCUCGUCAUCGUUGAUGCUGCAUGGGCUUGUGGGUAAAACAGAAACACCCAUACACUGGGGCUAAAUUCCCCCAGUGACAGGUCACUGACCUCACUCAACUCAGGCCUAAUUACAGCUUUCAUAACUGGGCAAGAAGGAUCCUAAUAUUAGGUCCUGAUGACGAUUCAAGUCAGCUUCAGAUGGCUUAGUAAUAAUAUUGAAACUCAUCGACAAUAAAAACUGAGCUUAUCUGUUUUUUUUCUGCUUUAUAAACUAAACACAAAAGGGCAGUGCCACUGUAGCCGGGUAAAUCAUCAGCAGCGCAUACCUCGCC